Gadus morhua (Atlantic cod) is the source of this 832-nucleotide long non-coding RNA. Lineage: Eukaryota; Metazoa; Chordata; Actinopteri; Gadiformes; Gadidae. The record is from Ensembl.
AAAUACAUGAUAAGGAAAAGGGAAGCAGUCGUUGCUUAUGAAGUGAGCUGAAAUAUGUGUAAAUGUAUAAAUAAAUGAAGGCAAUCUUUCCCAGCACACUGUUUAGAGUUACUUUCUUCAAGUGUGCAACAUGUGCACCCCAAGUAGGCUCAGUCUAGUCCCAUAUGAAGUUGAAGAAAUAAAUUACUUCGUUUCUUUACAAUAAAAAAUUGCAGCAUAUCAUGCUAUUCAAACUGAAUGUAUCUCAUCUCAGCUAUCCCUUUCUUACCAAGCAUAUUGGUCCACACUGUUUCCUCUUCUCUUCAGCUCCAUGCCAUGAUAGCAUUUACUGCAUUUCAUUUUUCUUCUCAAAAGUUUCUUCCUCUGAAACCACUUAAUAAGCUUCCAAGCAUUUUGUUUAGAAGCUUCCUGAUGUAGAAGGUUUCUCACACUGCUGAAUCUUGUCAUUACACUGGUGAAUGAUGCCGCCAGGAUCGUGCUGCCACAGAAUCUAACGCCUGCGUUCAGUAGGAAUCGCGUCAUCAACGUGGGACAAAGAAAGGUUUCGCGCUUAUUCUAUAGUGAUAUAGCCACCUGUUCCAGCUGACAGUAGCAGUAAUAAUGGCAAACAGAAAACGGAUACAGACCAGAGGAAAAAAAUAUGUAGAGGAGACAGAAGCGGAAGGCAGCAGUGUUGGUGCGUCAGCAGCCCCCACAGCACAGCUGGCACUAAACAAUAAAGCACAUGAGUUGCAGAUGUGCAAAAAGAAAAUGGAAUGGCAGAAUGAGAAAAUAGAGGAGUUGACCAAGGAGAGAUUUCCUCAAGGAACAACUAGCAUCCGCUCUUAAAAAA